ACCGGGCACGGCCCUGCUCCUCCCUCCGUGCCUGGCUUUUAGGAUGUAUUGACCGUGUUCAAUCACAUGUCACCAAAAAGGGAUGGCAGCUGCGAGGUCACACAUUUCCUAUAGGAAAAAGCGGACUCAGGGAUGAAUGGAGCAUCAACCAGGUUAUCCAGAGGACAUGUGAGGAAGACCUUCAGCCUUCCUCCUAGAAGACCCCUGAAGAGACCAGAAGACCGCAUAGCAACAAUGGGAGCACGCGCUGUGCAGUAGAGUGAUGUAGAUUUCAAGAAUGAAAAAUGGGAGGAGAUUUAUGGAACUAUUGAUGAAUACGUAUUAGCACACAGUAUAUACGUUGUGUUUGGAUCCUUCGUACGGGAGGCAGGGUAGAAAGUCCUCCCCAUACCCCGGUUGGUUUUGCUUUAUCCGCACCACUGCCAAAUUUCUUUUUGUAACUACUGAAUUAUAUUUGAUUGCAUUAUUAUUUUAUGCCUCAAUUAAAAUUGCUGCUAAAUU
Long non-coding RNA from Taeniopygia guttata (zebra finch), 501 nucleotides. RefSeq lists it as uncharacterized. NCBI's taxonomy places the organism in Eukaryota, Metazoa, Chordata, Aves, Passeriformes, Estrildidae. The record is from RefSeq and is a predicted model, not a curated record.